This is a long non-coding RNA of Oncorhynchus nerka (sockeye salmon), 1137 nucleotides long. RefSeq lists it as uncharacterized. The transcript has 4 exons. Lineage: Eukaryota; Metazoa; Chordata; Actinopteri; Salmoniformes; Salmonidae. The record is from RefSeq and is a predicted model, not a curated record.
AAUACAGUGUAGAUACUGUUAACGUUGUAAAUGACUAUUGUAGAUGGAAACGGCUGAUUUUCUAUGGAAUAUCUACAUAGGAGGCCCACAGGAGAACACCGAGAAUGCGGUCCAUGCCACCAAGUCUGUGGAGACCACACGUGCUCACCUGCAGGGCCAGCUACACAGCAAAGAGGCUGACAACAACCGUCUCACCGUGCAGCUCCGGGGUUUGGAGAGGCAGCUGACUGAGCAGAAGAUGGAGAUGGUCUGAGGGGGGAGAUCUCCAGUGUGUCCAGUGUGUCUGAGAAGGCAGAACAGGAGAAAGAGGGCCUGAAGAAGGCCACCCGUGCCCAGAAACAGAGGGCCGAGAGGUUCGAAGCUGCUGUGGAUAAAUGUUACACUCAGCUGAGGGAGAAGAAAACCAUCACUGGCCCAGGGAGGUAUGACAUCCAGGAUUUCACUGAGAACCGGGAGAAGAAGCCAUGCACUGUGAGACGUGACAUCAGUAAGGUGUAAAGACUUCAUGAAGAGGACCUGAGCCCUAGGACCAUGCCUCAGGACUACCUGGCAUGAUGACUCCUUGCUGUCCCCAGUCCACCUGGCCUUGCUGCUGCUCCAGUUUCAACUGUCCUGACUGUGAUUAUUAUUAUUUGACCAUGCUGGUCAUUUAUGAACAUUUGAACACCGCGGCCAUGUUCUGUUAUAAUCUCCACUCGGCACAGCCAGAAGAGGACUGGCCACCCCACAUAGCCUGGUCCCUCUCUAGGUUUAUUCCUAGGUUUUGGCCUUUCUAGGGAGUUUUUCCAAGCCACCUUGUUUCUACACCUGUACUGCAUUGUUUGGGGUUUUAGGCUGGGUUUCUGUACAGCACUUUGAGAUAUCAGCUGAUGUACGAAGGGCUAUAUGAAUACAUUUGUGGAACUGGAAAAGCGUGUGCGAGCAAGGAGGCCUUCAAACCUGACUCAGUUAGACCAGCUCUGCCAAGAGGAAUGGGCCAAAAUUCACCCAACUUAUUGUGGGAAGCUGUGGAAGGCUACCCGAAAUGUUUGACCCAAGUUAAACAAUUUAAAGGCAAUGUUACCAAAUACUAAUUGAGUGUAUGUAAACUUCUGACCCACUGGGAAUGUGAUGAAAGAAAUACAAGCUGAAAUAAAU